GAUGAAGAACGCAGCGAAAUGCGAUAAGUAAUGUGAAUUGCAGAAUUUAGUGAAUCAUCGAAUCUUUGAACGCACAUUGCGCCCCCUGGUAUUCCGGGGGGCAUGCCUGUUCGAGCGUCAUUUCACCACUCAAGCCUCGCUUGGUAUUGGGCAACGCGGUCCGCCGCGUGCCUCAAAUCGACCGGCUGGGUCUUCUGUCCCCUAAGCGUUGUGGAAACUAUUCGCUAAAGGGUGUUCGGGAGGCUACGCCGUAAAACAACCCCAUUUCUAAGGUUGACCUCGGAUCAGGUAGGGAUACCCGCUGAACUUAAGCAUAUCAAUAAGCGGAGGA
This 331-nucleotide unclassified non-coding RNA is filed under the name soil metagenome. Its description in RNAcentral is "partial contains 5.8S ribosomal RNA, internal transcribed spacer 2, and large subunit ribosomal RNA". The stretch from base 1 to 120 matches the Rfam family "5.8S ribosomal RNA", at positions 35 to 154 of the family's 154-position model. The record is from RNAcentral.